This is a non-coding RNA of Acanthosepion pharaonis, 89 nucleotides long. NCBI's taxonomy places the organism in Eukaryota, Metazoa, Mollusca, Cephalopoda, Sepiida, Sepiidae. The record is from the annotation of a GenBank genome assembly.
CAGUUCCCAUAUGAUCCCUGUAGUUAAGCAACAUUGAUCCUGGUCAGUACUUAGAUGGGUGACCACUUGGGAAUACUAGGUGCUGUAAU